AGAGUUUGAUCAUGGCUCAGGAUGAACGCUGGCGGCGUGCCUAAUACAUGCAAGUCGAACGAGGUGCUUUUGUAGCAAUACGAGAGUAUCCUAGUGGCGAACGGGUGAGUAACGCGUUGGUGACCUACCCCAAAGUGUGGGAUAACAGUCCGAGAGGAUUGCUAAUACCGCAUGUGGUCAUUGGAUUUAGAAACUGAUGACUAAAGGAGCAAUUCGCUUUGGGAGGGACCUGCGUCCCAUCAGCUAGUUGGUGAGGUAACGGCUCACCAAGGCGACGACGGGUAGGGGACCUGAGAGGGUGGCCCCCCACAAUGGAACUGAAACACGGUCCAUACACCUACGGGUGGCAGCAGUAGGGAAUAUUGCACAAUGGGCGAAAGCCUGAUGCAGCAACGCCGCGUGUGUGAUGAAGGCCUUCGGGUCGUAAAGCACUUUUCUGGGAGAUGAGAAAGGACAGUAUCCCAGGAAUAAGUCUCGGCUAACUACGUGCCAGCAGCCGCGGUAAUUC
This 508-nucleotide ribosomal RNA is filed under the name uncultured bacterium. RNAcentral describes it as "bacterial SSU rRNA". It matches the Rfam family "Bacterial small subunit ribosomal RNA", at positions 8 to 526 of the family's 1533-position model. The record is from RNAcentral.